GACGAACGCUGGCGGCGUGCCUAAUACAUGCAAGUUGAGCGCUGAAGGUUGGUACUUGUACCAACUGGAUGAGCAGCGAACGGGUGAGUAACGCGUGGGGAAUCUGCCUUUGAGCAGGGGACAACAUUUGGAAACGAAUGCUAAUACCGCAUAAAAACUUUAAACACAAGUUUUAAGUUUGAAAGAUGCAAUUGCAUCACUCAAAGAUGAUCCCGCGUUGUAUUAGCUAGUUGGUGAGGUAAAGGCUCACCAAGGCGAUGAUACAUAGCCGACCUGAGAGGGUGAUCGGCCAAAUUGGGAAUGAGACAAGGCACAAACUACUACGGGAGGCAGCAGUAGGGAAACUUCGGCAAUGGAUGAAAGACUGACCGAGCAACGCCGCGUGAGUGAAGAAGGGUUUCGGAUCGUAAAACUCUGUUGGUAGAGAAGAACGUUGGUGAGAGUGGAAAGCUCACAAAGUGACGGUAACUACACAGAAAGGGACGGCUAACUACGUG
RNAcentral lists this ribosomal RNA (497 nucleotides) under uncultured bacterium. RNAcentral's name for it is "partial 16S ribosomal RNA". It matches the Rfam family "Bacterial small subunit ribosomal RNA", at positions 28 to 507 of the family's 1533-position model. The record is from RNAcentral.